RNAcentral lists this ribosomal RNA (253 nucleotides) under uncultured bacterium. RNAcentral's name for it is "partial 16S ribosomal RNA". It matches the Rfam family "Bacterial small subunit ribosomal RNA", at positions 524 to 776 of the family's 1533-position model. The record is from RNAcentral.
UACGGGGGGAGCAAGCGUUGUUCGGAUUUACUGGGCGUAAAGGGCGCGUAGGUGGCGACCCAAGUCCAUGGUGAAAGCUCGAUGCUCAACAUCGAGUCGGCCACGGAUACUGGGUUGCUGGAGCACUGUAGAGGCAGAUGGAAUUCCGGGUGUAGCGGUGGAAUGCGUAGAGAUCCGGAAGAACACCGGUGGCGAAGGCGGUCUGCUGGGCAGUAACUGACGCUGAGGAGCGAAAGCGUGGGGAGCGAACAGG